AUCCAGGUGACGAGUCCCAAAUAGGACGAACUGGACAUCCUGGAU
Molecule: non-coding RNA, 45 nt
Organism: Trichobilharzia regenti
Lineage: Eukaryota; Metazoa; Platyhelminthes; Trematoda; Strigeidida; Schistosomatidae
Source: Rfam